UGACUUAAGCCCAUAUAUUAUUAGCAGAAUCCAUGUCUUUUAUGCACAUACACAUUAUAAACACAACACAUAUAGGUCUUCAAGUUUUACAUAACUGGCAAAACUAUAAAAAAAAAAGUCGAGCAUUCAGAAGCUUUAAGAAAAUGGAUACAAAUCAAACCAAGAAGGAAAUGGCUUGGACUCCUCAUCGAAAUAAUCUUGCUUAGCGGCCCAUGGUUUGCUCGUUAGGGGGGAUCAUAACGAGCACUUGUUGGGCCUUAAAGCCAGGAUGAGGAAGCCUGCGACGAAGCUCACGACCUUCUUGGCAAAGAGCACAAGGGUGGCAGAAGAAAUGAGUUGCAAAGUCACAAACUGACUCACAUUGCUCGCGUUGCACCUCGUCCUCAAUAAAGCUCCCGCAGCACCCACUAGACCUGUUGAAGGCCUCACAGCUCCCCUCAAGAUUGAACUUCCGGCGGAUAGCUGUACGACUGGGAUAUGUAAAGCAAGGUGCCACACAGUUCGAGCCAAAGAAGGAUUGUCCAAUUAGGAAGAGGCCAGUGUAAGGCAAGCAGUGAUUG
This 560-nucleotide unclassified non-coding RNA is filed under the name Hevea brasiliensis (rubber tree). Lineage: Eukaryota; Viridiplantae; Streptophyta; Magnoliopsida; Malpighiales; Euphorbiaceae. The record is from RNAcentral.